UACGUAGGGAGCGAGCGUUGUCCGGAUUUACUGGGUGUAAAGGGUGCGUAGGCGGCUAUGCAAGUCAGUAGUGAAAUCCAUGGGCUUAACCCAUGAACUGCUAUUGAAACUGCACAGCUUGAGUGAAGUAGAGGUAGGCGGAAUUCCCGGUGUAGCGGUGAAAUGCGUAGAGAUCGGGAGGAACACCAGUGGCGAAGGCGGCCUACUGGGCUUUAACUGACGCUGAGGCACGAAAGCGUGGGUAGCAAACAGG
RNAcentral lists this ribosomal RNA (253 nucleotides) under uncultured bacterium. RNAcentral describes it as "partial 16S ribosomal RNA". It matches the Rfam family "Bacterial small subunit ribosomal RNA", at positions 524 to 776 of the family's 1533-position model. The record is from RNAcentral.